RNAcentral lists this ribosomal RNA (894 nucleotides) under uncultured bacterium. RNAcentral's name for it is "bacterial SSU rRNA". It matches the Rfam family "Bacterial small subunit ribosomal RNA", at positions 33 to 893 of the family's 1533-position model. The record is from RNAcentral.
ACGCUGGCGGCGUGCCUAAUACAUGCAAGUCGAGCGAGCGGAACUAACAGAUUUACUUCGGUAAUGACGUUAGGAAAGCGAGCGGCGGAUGGGUGAGUAACACGUGGGGAACCUGCCCCAUAGUCUGGGAUACCACUUGGAAACAGGUGCUAAUACCGGAUAAGAAAGCAGAUCGCAUGAUCAGCUUUUAAAAGGCGGCGUAAGCUGUCGCUAUGGGAUGGCCCCGCGGUGCAUUAGCUAGUUGGUAAGGUAAAGGCUUACCAAGGCGAUGAUGCAUAGCCGAGUUGAGAGACUGAUCGGCCACAUUGGGACUGAGACACGGCCCAAACUCCUACGGGAGGCAGCAGUAGGGAAUCUUCCACAAUGGACGCAAGUCUGAUGGAGCAACGCCGCGUGAGUGAAGAAGGUUUUCGGAUCGUAAAGCUCUGUUGUUGGUGAAGAAGGAUAGAGGUAGUAACUGGCCUUUAUUUGACGGUAAUCAACCAGAAAGUCACGGCUAACUACGUGCCAGCAGCCGCGGUAAUACGUAGGUGGCAAGCGUUGUCCGGAUUUAUUGGGCGUAAAGCGAGCGCAGGCGGAAGAAUAAGUCUGAUGUGAAAGCCCUCGGCUUAACCGAGGAACUGCAUCGGAAACUGUUUUUCUUGAGUGCAGAAGAGGAGAGUGGAACUCCAUGUGUAGCGGUGGAAUGCGUAGAUAUAUGGAAGAACACCAGUGGCGAAGGCGGCUCUCUGGUCUGCAACUGACGCUGAGGCUCGAAAGCAUGGGUAGCGAACAGGAUUAGAUACCCUGGUAGUCCAUGCCGUAAACGAUGAGUGCUAAGUGUUGGGAGGUUUCCGCCUCUCAGUGCUGCAGCUAACGCAUUAAGCACUCCGCCUGGGGAGUACGACCGCAAGG